AUUGAACGCUGGCGGCAUGCCUUACACAUGCAAGUCGAACGGCAGCGGACCUUCGGGUGCCGGCGAGUGGCGAACGGGUGAGUAAUAUAUCGGGAACGUACCUUUCAGUGGGGGAUAACGUAGCGAAAGUUACGCUAAUACCGCAUAUUCUGUGAGCAGGAAAGCAGGGGAGUCGCAAGACCUUGCGCUGAUUGAGCGGCCGAUAUCAGAUUAGCUAGUUGGUGAGGUAAAGGCUCACCAAGGACGACGAUCUGUAGCGGGUCGUGAGAGGAUGAUCCGCCACACUGGAACUGAGACACGGUCCAGACUCCUACGGGAGGCAGCAGUGGGGAAGUUUUGGACAAUGGGCGCAAGCCUGAUCCAGCCAUGCCGCGUGAGUGAAGAAGGCCUCGG
Molecule: ribosomal RNA, 393 nt
Filed under: uncultured bacterium
Lineage: Bacteria
Description: bacterial SSU rRNA
Rfam family: Bacterial small subunit ribosomal RNA
Source: RNAcentral